UACGGGAGGCAGCAGUGGGGAAUAUUGGACAAUGGGCGCAAGCCUGAUCCAGCCAUGCCGCGUGAGUGAUGAAGGCCUUAGGGUUGUAAAGCUCUUUCACCGGAGAAGAUAAUGACGGUAUCCGGAGAAGAAGCCCCGGCUAACUUCGUGCCAGCAGCCGCGGUAAU
RNAcentral lists this ribosomal RNA (167 nucleotides) under uncultured rumen bacterium. Its description in RNAcentral is "partial 16S ribosomal RNA". It matches the Rfam family "Bacterial small subunit ribosomal RNA", at positions 340 to 524 of the family's 1533-position model. The record is from RNAcentral.